CCUACGGGUGGCAGCAGUGGGGGAUAUUGCACAAUGGGGGAAACCCUGAUGCAGCGACGCCGCGUGGGCGAAGAAGUAUCUCGGUAUGUAAAGCCCUAUCAGCAGGGAAGAAGAAAUGACGGUACCUGAGUAAGAAGCACCGGCUAAAUACGUGCCAGCAGCCGCGGUAAUACGUAUGGUGCAAGCGUUAUCCGGAUUUACUGGGUGUAAAGGGAGCGCAGGCGGCACGGCAAGCCUGAUGUGAAAGCCCGCGGCCCAACCGCGGGACUGCAUUGGGAACUACCGGGCUGGAGUGCAGGAGAGGUAGGCGGAAUGCCUGGUGUAGCGGUGAAAGGCGUAGAUAUUAGGAGGAACACCAGUGGCGAAGGCGGCCUGCUGGACGGUGACUGACGCUGAGGCUCGAAAGCGUGGGGAGCAAACAGGAUUAGAUACCCUUGUAGUC
RNAcentral lists this ribosomal RNA (442 nucleotides) under uncultured bacterium. RNAcentral's name for it is "partial 16S ribosomal RNA". It matches the Rfam family "Bacterial small subunit ribosomal RNA", at positions 338 to 795 of the family's 1533-position model. The record is from RNAcentral.